This is a long non-coding RNA of Vollenhovia emeryi, 2528 nucleotides long. RefSeq lists it as uncharacterized. The record is from RefSeq and is a predicted model, not a curated record. NCBI's taxonomy places the organism in Eukaryota, Metazoa, Arthropoda, Insecta, Hymenoptera, Formicidae. The transcript is spliced from 2 exons.
AACGUGGAUGGGAGGACUCGCUCGCGCGCGGACGUGUGAUGUAACGAAUUCUGCAGGUAGCGUGACUUCGAUUCCCACCAAAUAGUCACGCUAUUCGCAUUACCAGUCGAGCCGCGGUCGGUGCUAGAUCGCGACUUAAUACGGCGCGCGUCGCGGAAGGUUGCGCGGAUCAUUUGUCGCGGGGAACGUGCGAAAAUUACACGGAGGAGUUGGCGCGCAAACGAGCCGGAUGUAAGCUGCGUUUUUGCACGGUUGCUGCGGUUUCUUCCUCGCUGGACAGCAUCCGAGCGGCGAGUACUUGGUCGGUUUAGCCGGAGAGUCGUUUAUAGGUCCCUCAACAGUCCGGGUACCAUCGCCGCGGAGAUACUCCGUUAUUGAUGGAGCUUGUUAAAAUUAUUCGCGUGAUUUAUACCGGAUUAUAGCAGUCACACCACAAUAGUCAUAUCGCACGGUCAAUCGUUUGCGUUUAUCUGCCUUUAAGGGAAUCCUAAAGCCGUCUGUUUUAUCGAUUUUUUGUUUUCCUUUUAGAAGUAAUCUCUUUAGAAGUUUUCUUGCUAGAAGUAAUCUUUUAAUUGACUUUAUAGAAAUGCAAAAGUGAAAAUGUUGAUAAUUGACAUCUUUAAUUCCGUCUCCUAUCUUAUCGACACUGAUUGAGUUCGCCAGCGGCUUUAGGGUCCCCUUAAGCACUCAUUGCUCGUGUAUCGUCGUGGAGUUUUAUCGGGAUAAUAAUUCUCCGCUCAACAGACGUAACGUAUUCCGCAUGUUUGACAAGUUGGCCUUUCCGUAUUAAUGCGCGCAUAAUUUCCAACUGUAUUCAACAAUCCUCGGGCCGGUCCUCUUAAGCGGGCAAAGCCUUUGUAUAUCGGACUAUAGUAUUAUAACUAAUUACGACGGUAGGACCGAAAUGCCCGUGGCGUACAUGCAUAUGUCAUGCUGUGCACUUGCAUGCGUAAUUAUGUAAUCCCAUCUAAUCCUAUAAUCUGAGUCCACAAAUAAUCCCGCGCAAUACUGAAAUAGGUGGUAUGAUAAAGGGACGUGCAGUUUCUAUACGCGCGUCACGUUUUUGGAUAAGGUGCGCGAGCGAUUUAUAUCCGAAACAAACAAGUUGCGAGGUGAAAGGAACAAGGUGAGGAACGAGUUCGCCGGGCUCGCGUCUGAGUUUCAGAAAUAUAAAGGGCCGCGCUAACAAUGAGCGGGCGUCGCGGAAAAGAAAGCAGAACGAACCGGGCGAGAGAAUGAGAGCCGAGGCGGCCAAGCUCUCUCUAAAAAUACAUGGGUUUUAUGGGAUCGUAACACCGCGAGUUCGUUUCGCGCGGGGCGCGCAGCCCAGGCCUACCCACCCGCUCAUAAAUCCCUUUGACCAUUAGGCUCACGUGUGAAAUUGCUAUUACGUCGCGGUCCUACCGCAGCUGUCGUUACGCGGAAACCGCCCGACGCGACGUGUACCCCGGAGUCUACGGGCGUUUCAUACCCGAUCGUCGGAUCGAGCGACGCCCCCGUCAUCCCCGGCUGGCUGCAAGUCGCGAAACGAAGGGUAUUACCUGCCGCCUGUUGUCGGCGAGAGCGAGUCGUAACGUCGCUGGCUUCAAAUUAAAGUUUCAUAAUGGGAUCAAACCGGAGGACUUUUAACGAAAAAUAUAUGGAAAGUCGAAAACUGAAGAAUCAAAAACUCAAGAGCGAGAUUCCAUGAGGAUAUGAAGUUCCGCGGAGGUAUAGAGUUCUAUCGGAGCUACCGACGUUAAUUCUAUGCGGUUAUGGAAGGAAGAAGCACGCAACGAGCCUCGCCACUAAUGUCAAUUACCGUUAAUCUACUUAAUUGCUCGCGGUUAAUUUCUAAUUGAAAGUAUAACGUUCAAACGAAUAGGCUUAAUCUUCAUCAAUUAUAUGUAAAGCCCGAUAAUGGCGACACGGCCAUCGCAUUGUACUUUCUGUCCUCGUUAUUUUACUUCAUUUUCGCAUUUAUUUAACAGAAGCCGUUCCUGCGUCACAGCACUGCGAAUUGUCGUCGGAAUUGAUUGACAAUCAAAGAGAGAAUGAAUUUGAAGCAAAACAAUUUCACAAAAAUCUGAUAAUUUAAAUCGUAUGUUGCUGAAUAUUAAACGGUAUAUAUUUAUUAUUGACGAAUGCUACUAUGCGCUGUUUUUAGACGCGAAUCUUUUGCAGAACAGGCAAAAGUACGACGCAACACACGAACAAAAUUGACCGGCGAAAAAUCCACAAUGUUGCGAGAAAUAAGAACGAACGCGAUAACAGCUGCGCAACAGUUUUUACCGUACGCUAAUUGGUAUUCCGCAUAAUUAUCACUGCUUCCAACGCGCCUCACCUUCGCUAUUCCUCACGUAACUCUAUGACCACGAGGUAAUCGCGUACGACAGUUUCCGGAACGAAUCCACGCGAUUAAUUAAGAUUAUUAAGAAACCUGUGAUAUUAACCUUGACGGCUAUUUCUCAAACGAAUAUUUAGAAAAUAUGCAAUUACAUGGGAAACAUUCGGUGCGCAUACGGUAAUUAAUAAAAAUCUAUCUCGUA